RNAcentral lists this ribosomal RNA (556 nucleotides) under Alternaria alternata. RNAcentral describes it as "eukaryotic LSU rRNA". The stretch from base 206 to 359 matches the Rfam family "5.8S ribosomal RNA". Lineage: Eukaryota; Fungi; Ascomycota; Dothideomycetes; Pleosporales; Pleosporaceae. The record is from RNAcentral.
GGCCCGGCCUGCUGCACCGGACCUGCGGAGGGAUCAUUACACAAAGAUUCGCUGCGGGCUGGAACCUGUCGGGGUUACAGCCUUGCUGAAUUAUUCACCCUUGUCUUUUGCGUACUUCUUGUUUCCUUGGUGGGUUCGCCCACCACUAGGACAAACAUAAACCUUUUGUAAUUGCAAUCAGCGUCAGUAACAAAUUAAUAAUUACAACUUUCAACAACGGAUCUCUUGGUUCUGGCAUCGAUGAAGAACGCAGCGAAAUGCGAUAAGUAGUGUGAAUUGCAGAAUUCAGUGAAUCAUCGAAUCUUUGAACGCACAUUGCGCCCUUUGGUAUUCCAAAGGGCAUGCCUGUUCGAGCGUCAUUUGUACCCUCAAGCUUUGCUUGGUGUUGGGCGUCUUGUCUCUAGCUUUGCUGGAGACUCGCCUUAAAGUAAUUGGCAGCCGGCCUACUGGUUUCGGAGCGCAGCACAAGUCGCACUCUCUAUCAGCAAAGGUCUAGCAUCCACUAAGCCUUUUUUUCAACUUUUGACCUCGGAUCAGGUAGGGAUACCCGCUGAAC